UAGGCACGCCCCAUUUCAUGUUUGCAGCUGAGACAUGAGCUCUCAGCUUCCUGCUGCAGCUGCUGCUGCCGCUGUGCCUGCCGGCUGCCUUGCCUCCCGCCAUAACGGACUCUCAUCCCUCGGGAACCAUAAGCCCAAAUAAACGCCUACUUCUAAGGAAAUCUCUCUGUGGCAAGAAACAGGAAGCGUGGGACUGAAGUUAGCCGCAGAGUCAGGGCCACUUUCCUCUACCCAGUGAGCCCCGGAAUGUCUGUGCUGAUCCUGGGCCAGGCUACCUCCACAGAGCCACCUGCUGGGCGCGACAUCAAGCUCCAGCUGCCUGGCCAGGGCCUGCAGCAGCCAUUGCUCCUGCCGGGUCCCCAAACCCAAGGCUGUGGCUCACACACGGCUGACCCCGGGCAUGGAUGCUUCUGGCUUCAUCUGGGCCUGAGAGAAGUUUUAUCCUCUGAAGAAGUAGAAAAAGACCCCAGAAAACCCAAGACAUGUGGAAAAUGACUCAUCCAUGCAGGGGCAACGGCUAAAAAGAAUUCACAGUAGCCACCCUGGCUACCAGAACAUGGAAAACAUGAGUGGGAUUUUUUUUAUUUGUAUGGGACAGUGUGUUUUAUCUUCUGACUAGCAUGCAUCCAUAGUAUAAAACGAUGGGCUUCGCUACAGCAUUUCUAGUUGUUUCGACAGGAAAAAAGCUCAGGCUCACCCCGUCACUGUCUCUGUCCCCUCCCCUCCUUCCUCUUGUCAAACCGUCAAAUAAUCCCUCUUCUGUUUUCAACGCACGCACACACACACACACACACACACACACACACACACACACUCACACACACACUUUUCAAAACCUAGGUUCCCCAUCUGAGAGGACUUACUCGUCUUUCUGAGUCUGGCCUAGUUCAUCAUGAGAAUGUCUCUAGUUUCAUCUAUUUUCCUGCAAAUGGCAUAAUCUCUCUCUUUCUGGCUGAAUAAAAUUCCAGUAUCCACA
Molecule: long non-coding RNA, 976 nt
Organism: Peromyscus maniculatus bairdii (prairie deer mouse)
Lineage: Eukaryota; Metazoa; Chordata; Mammalia; Rodentia; Cricetidae
Source: RefSeq, a predicted model, not a curated record